This 796-nucleotide ribosomal RNA is filed under the name uncultured bacterium. RNAcentral describes it as "bacterial SSU rRNA". It matches the Rfam family "Bacterial small subunit ribosomal RNA", at positions 8 to 796 of the family's 1533-position model. The record is from RNAcentral.
AGAGUUUGAUCAUGGCUCAGAUUGAACGCUGGCGGCGUGCCUAACACAUGCAAGUCGAGCGGUAACAGGUGUAGCAAUACAUGCUGACGAGCGGCGAACGGGUGAGUAAUGCUUUGGAAUCUUCCCAGUAGUGGGGAAUAACCAGUCGAAAGAUUGGCUAAUACCGCAUACGUCUGUAAAGGGAAAGCGGGGGCUCAUAAGACCUCGCGCUAUUGGAUGAGCCAAAGUCGGAUUAGCUAGUUGGUGGGGUAAUGGCCUACCAAGGCGACAAUCCGUAGCUGGUCUGAGAGGACGACCAGCCACACCGGAACUGAGACACGGUCCGGACUCCCUACGGGAGGCAGCAGUGGGGAAUAUUGGACAAUGGGGGAAACCCUGAUCCAGCGACGCCGCGUGUGUGAAGAAGGCCUGCGGGUUGUAAAGCACUUUUAGUGGGGACAAAAAGCUACGGACUAAUACUCUGUGGUCUUGAUUUAACCCAAAGAAAAAGCACCGGCUAACUCUGUGCCAGCAGCCGCGGUAAUACAGAGGGUGCGAGCGUUAAUCGGAAUUACUGGGCGUAAAGCGCGCGUAGACGGUUUUGUAAGUCAGAUGUGAAAUCCCUGGGCUCAACCUGGGAACUGCAUUUGAGACUGCAUGGCUAGAGUAUGGAAGAGGGAAGUGGAAUUUCCGGUGUAGCGGUGAAAUGCGUAGAUAUCGGAAGGAACACCAGUGGCGAAAGCGACUUCCUGGUCCAAUACUGACGUUCAUGUGCGAAAGCGUGGGGAGCAANNAGGAUUAGAUACCCUAGUAGUCC